CAAGACUUUUGAUAAACCUGCGAUCAAGCGAACAAAAACAGCCACUAAUUUCAGGUACGAAUGAUCUUUUUUUUUUUUUUUUUUUCUGAUCAAUUCUCAAGCUUAAUUCACUCUCUGUUUCUGUUCAGUUUGGUAGUUCAAAAUUUGUAAGAAUCGAACAAGUUCAUGAACAUUUUUUUUUCCACUUUCUCGAAGCUGGUUCAUAUUUAUUUAUUUUAUUUUAUUUUUUGUUUGUACCUUGUUUCCCGCUGCUCUGAACUGAAUUCUUCAUUUUGUGUGUUAUAUUUUUCUUAUUGCCACUAAUUUAUCGAUUGAAAAGUUUGAUGGGGAUUUCAUUAUCUUGCGAAGCAUUUUAUUAUAUUUGCAUCAGGGGUGUUGUUGUUUGAUUGAUUUUCUGAAUUUCGUUAAUAUCUUUAAUUCUAUGGAGUAAUAUUAGCACUCUUUCUUUUUCGGGUUUUUGAAAAUAAAAUUCAUCAGUUUCAAACGAUUUUUUUUUUCGCAUUUAUUAAUUUAUUGAAUUGUUAAUAUAUCUGGUGUUUCCAGAUUCGAUUUUGAUAAUUUUACAUUUAAAUCAGAAUUUAUCAUUUUUCAAUCACUUUCAUUGUCCAAGAAAAACAGGUUUACUGAAUAUUUCUGUAUGCAAAUUAUUUCCUCUUAAAAAUAAGGAUAUAGUAAGUGUGUGUUGUUAUCCUCUUAAAAUCAAUUGAAUUUCGUCUGAAUAUAUUUAUCCAAUUCUUUUUUUCCAUCAUCAGUCUUGAAAACCAUCAAAAAGGGAUCCUGAUUAUCAAAUUUUCCUCUGUUUCAAUACAAAACCAUGGCUUAUUUUUAAAGUCUACAAAUUUUCUUGUCUAGCACAUCUAUUAAGGUAACUAAAACUGAACAGAGAUCUCCAUUUUUCUCCAGUGUAGAAGAACAAUGAUAAUGACACUCUUGCGCUCGGAAUGUUCGGCUUUCUAGUGCAGCCUUGGAACUAUUAUAGGACUUAUCUAUGCAUAUCUUCUUAUCUUUUGCAAUUUGUUGUAGUUGUUGAAUGUUUGAGUUUUUGUUUCUUGCUAAGGCUUGAGCAGAACGGUGGAGGAUACAUAUGAAUCUGGUGGGAACAGCAAGAAUUUUCCAUCGAAAUUCUCAAUUUGUUUGAAGCCUGAAAUUUCUUAGCGAUCGAAGAUUGAAAGGUAAAGAAAGCUGAACAAAGAAAUGGGAUGUUCUCCAUCGAAGUUGGAUGAUGAAGCGGUUCUACAGUAACAAGCAGUUGAGCAAAGAAUGAAAUUUGCCUCUGGAUGCAUUGCUUAUAUACGAUCCAUUAAAAGAGUUUCUGCUUCACUUAGAGAAUAUAUCAGUGGGCAUGAGCAUGUGAGUAUCUCAGAUUCUUUUACACCAGACUUCACCCCCAUAAAGGAAACAAGUGCUGCUUUCAUUUGCAUAUCACCGAGGUCCUUCUCAGUGACACCAUUUAAAUCUGAACCAAACUCACGUUGUAAAAUAAACAACCUCAAGUCUGGUGGAAAUCCUUCUAUUACGGUUGAGAUGAGACCACCUCAAUCACCAGAAGCUAUCAGAAUUGAAGCUUAUGCCCCUGUGCAUAAUUUCGAAAUGGACAGCUUUUUGGAAAUGCAUUCAUCUUCUGUGAGCUCUUCAAUUUUCCAUAGCUCCCCCAUUGAUAGACCUAAUUGUUCUCCAAUUUCAGCUCAACCAUCUCAAUGGGUUUUCUUCUGGAAUCCCUUUUCUUCAUUAGAUUACUAUGGCUAUACCACCAGCA
Molecule: long non-coding RNA, 1756 nt
Filed under: Olea europaea subsp. europaea
Lineage: Eukaryota; Viridiplantae; Streptophyta; Magnoliopsida; Lamiales; Oleaceae
Source: RNAcentral